This 253-nucleotide ribosomal RNA is filed under the name uncultured bacterium. Its description in RNAcentral is "partial 16S ribosomal RNA". It matches the Rfam family "Bacterial small subunit ribosomal RNA", at positions 524 to 776 of the family's 1533-position model. The record is from RNAcentral.
UACGAAGGACCCAAGCGUUAUCCGGAUUUAUUGGGUUUAAAGGGUGCGUAGGCGGGUUAUUAAGUCAGUGGUGAAAGCCUACAGCUUAACUGUAGAAUUGCCAUUGAUACUGAUGAUCUUGAGUAUGAUUGAGGUGGGCGGAAUGUGUCAUGUAGCGGUGAAAUGCUUAGAUAUGACACAGAACACCGAUUGCGAAGGCAGCUCACUAAGCCAUAACUGACGCUGAUGCACGAAAGCGUGGGGAGCAAACAGG